AUCUCCGACACAGCGACGCCGUCCGGGGGACCCACGCCAGGGCCGGGACAGGGACCGCCGUGCCCGGGUCCCCUCCUCUCCCGCCGCUCCCGGCCCCGCUCCGUCCCCGGAGUCCGAUGGCGGCGGCGGCGCGGAGGGAGCCGGCUCAGGUUCCCAUGACUGCAGAAGUGCUUAUGGAACCCACACAGGGCUGUUUUCAAAUAUAUACGGCAAAGGAAAAGACGGUUACAAAGCCAGAUGAACCCAUCCCAAUCUUCCAUCGUUAUUUGUCGUUUCAGAGCUGUUCUUGUUGCAUCUCUCCCCAUGUACACUACUUGAUUACUUCACUUAUAAUUCCGGACAUCGUAUCACUUAACGCAUAAUAAAUGUAAGGUCUCCUUCGUAACGCAGUAAUCAUCACAAAAAUAUAAAUAUUUUAUCAAUUGUCUUGAAAAUGUGUUUGUUUCUUAACUCAGAUUAGUCUCAAUCAGAAUCCAAAAUAUAUCCUUACAGCUUUCAGUAGCUGUGUCUCGUAAGUCUCUUAACGUGUAGGGUCUACUUACUUUUUCAAUUCUUAUUUAUUUGUUGAAGUUGCUGAGUCAUAUGUUCUAAUAGAAAUUCGCACAUUCUAGGUGCGGCUUAUUGAAUCUAUGAAACUGAUCACCCUUCCCCUAUAAUCCUGUGCACUAGAUGUGGAAGAGAUGGGUGAGGAGAUUUGGGCCCUGUAGACCAGGGGUGUGAUGCUGACUGUUGGCGAAAGAAAAACAAAAUUUUCUCCCAACCUAGAAAUCCUCUCCACGAAGGUAGAAGAGACAGACAACCAAUUUUAUUAUUGAAUAAGCAUGAAGCCAGGGUGAGAUGCACAUCACAGGUAAUCCACUAGGAAAUUGCAGAAAUAGGAAAAAACCUCACUUGCCUGUAUAGACAAGCAGAUAGAACCCAUUACACAUGUGCAUUCAAGACAAACAAUGACCCUAGUCCUCAAGUAAGAGGACUUGACAGCUCCUGUUGUCACACUGAGUUCGUCCUAACUUACAAGGCUUUAUCCAGAGGAAAGGCAAACUUCUCAUCUUUAUAACAGGAGGUAGUUUUGAAAGUUGAAGCAGGUGUCCACCAAGAUGAGGCUCCCACCCUUCCAGGGCAGGGACUGGGGAACUGAUAAGGGAGCUUCUCCCUGGAUGUUUGCAAUUUGAAGAGAUAGCUCCCAGUUUCUUGAGAAAGACAAUUCUGGGUCCUAAAGCUGGAGUGAGAAAAAAAGGCCAGCUGACAGAAGGCCUAUCUAGUCUUCAAAGGCAUACAUUUUAAAGAGAUGAGAAAGUUCUUACUAGUUUUCUAAGGUAAAUGCUUUAAGAAAAGGGAAGGGAAGGAAUUCUUCCCAUUUGCA
Molecule: long non-coding RNA, 1363 nt
Organism: Diceros bicornis minor
Lineage: Eukaryota; Metazoa; Chordata; Mammalia; Perissodactyla; Rhinocerotidae
Exons: 3
Source: RefSeq, a predicted model, not a curated record